This 371-nucleotide RNase P RNA is filed under the name Verrucomicrobiota bacterium. Its description in RNAcentral is "Verrucomicrobia bacterium RNase P RNA component class A". It matches the Rfam family "Bacterial RNase P class A". From Rfam's summary of the family: Ribonuclease P (RNase P) is a ubiquitous endoribonuclease, found in archaea, bacteria and eukarya as well as chloroplasts and mitochondria. Its best characterised activity is the generation of mature 5'-ends of tRNAs by cleaving the 5'-leader elements of precursor-tRNAs. Cellular RNase Ps are ribonucleoproteins. The record is from RNAcentral. Lineage: Bacteria; Pseudomonadati; Verrucomicrobiota. RNAcentral also lists the same sequence under 1 other name.
UUGAGGGGGCGACCCGUCGCUGGCGCGAAUUUAUUCGCGCUAGAGGAAAGUCUGGACUUCGCAGACAAAGGAUGCCAGUGAAAGACUGGGGGCCGCAAGGCUACGGAAAGUGCAACAGAAAGCAAACCGCAUUUUUGAAUUUUUUAAAAAUGACAGGCUGAAACGGUAGCUUUAAGAGCUACCCCUCCUCAAGAAAUUGGGGAUUGAGGCAAACCCCAUCCGAAGCAAGAGAGAAAGGACCAUUGGUUUUUGUCGACCAACCUUUCGUUAACUCGCUUGAGGGUAUUGGUGACAAUGCUCCCAGAGGAAUGACGGGUAGGGGCCCCUAAAAAGGCCUUCUACAGAAUCCGGCUUAUAGCCCCCUCAAAACU